UUAGUAAAGCUUAGGUUAACGAGGUUAACAUAACCUAUUAAUCAGAGAAUUUUUAGGUUGUGUGAAAUGAACUUUGUAAUUCUCCAAAAAACGAUGAAACGAAGAAUUUGGACGGGAAACUUGGUUGUGUCUGGAUCGGGAUCUUUUUCUUGAUAACAGGAACGGAUGUUAUUGUGGAAUUAACCAAAAGAUUUGAACGAAAAUUUCACCCUCCGUUAUGAAUUUUGAUGUGAAAACUUUGCAACUACGAAAGAGAUUUUCAUCGAUAAAUAAGUGUUAUCAAGCUCCAAAUUAUCGUUAAACUAAUUAAUAAGUACCUUAAUUAUAAUAUUUAAGUCGGUUUAAUAUCUUUUAAUAAAGAAUUUUUUAAAAAAUUAAAUUAUAAUUAUGUCAAAUUUAAAAGUGAGGUUAGAAUUACUUAUUUAACUCUCAAUCGCUAUUUAAAUGCGAUUUGUGGCUCAUAAAUUAUAAUUACAAUAAACUAAUAUCCUUGAUUUGAUUCUUAAUGAAUUAAUCAAUUUUUACUUUGAUAUGCAAUAAUUUUAUUAAAUACCUUCCGAUUAA
Molecule: long non-coding RNA, 564 nt
Organism: Onthophagus taurus
Lineage: Eukaryota; Metazoa; Arthropoda; Insecta; Coleoptera; Scarabaeidae
Source: RefSeq, a predicted model, not a curated record